Molecule: non-coding RNA, 92 nt
Organism: Mycena vulgaris
Lineage: Eukaryota; Fungi; Basidiomycota; Agaricomycetes; Agaricales; Mycenaceae
Source: the annotation of a GenBank genome assembly
UCAGAUAUGGUGUAACGGGAACACGGCCUCCUAUUCCAGCAACACUGACAGAAAUUGAGAUGCAAUCCGGGGUUUGAAUCCCCGUGUCUGAA